RNAcentral lists this ribosomal RNA (253 nucleotides) under uncultured bacterium. RNAcentral's name for it is "partial 16S ribosomal RNA". It matches the Rfam family "Bacterial small subunit ribosomal RNA", at positions 524 to 776 of the family's 1533-position model. The record is from RNAcentral.
UACAGAGGUCUCAAGCGUUGUUCGGAUUCAUUGGGCGUAACGAGCGCGCAGGCGGCUGGUCAAGUCCGAUGUGAAAUCUCCCGGCUCAACUGGGAAACUGCAUCGGAAACUGAUCGGCUUGAAGAUGGGAGAGGGUAGUGGAAUUCCCGGUGUAGUGGUGAAAUGCGUAGAGAUCCGGAGGAACACCAGCGGCGAAGGCGGCAUCCUGGACUGGUCCUGACACUCAGGAGCGAAAGCGUGGGGAGCGAUCCGG